Molecule: ribosomal RNA, 253 nt
Filed under: uncultured bacterium
Lineage: Bacteria
Description: partial 16S ribosomal RNA
Rfam family: Bacterial small subunit ribosomal RNA
Source: RNAcentral
UACAGAGGUCUCAAGCGUUGUUCGGAAUCACUGGGCGUAAAGGGUGCGUAGGUGGCGUGGUAAGUCAGAUGUGAAAGCCCGGGGCUCAACCUCGGAAUUGCAUCCGAUACUGCCGUGCUAGAGUACUGAAGAGGUGACUAGAAUUCUCGGUGUAGCAGUGAAAUGCGUAGAUAUCGAGAGGAAUACCAACGGCGAAGGCAGGUCACUGGGCAGUUACUGACACUGAGGCACGAAGGCCAGGGGAGCAAACGGG